UACGUAGGGCGCAAGCGUUGUCCGGAAUUAUUGGGCGUAAAGCGCACGUAGGCGGUUGCUUAAGUCGGAUGUGAAAGCCCUUGGCUCAACCAAGGAAGUGCAUCCGAAACUGAGCAGCUGGAGUACGAAAGAGGGUCGCGGAAUUCCCAGUGUAGAGGUGAAAUUCGUAGAUAUUGGGAGGAACACCGGUGGCGAAGGCGGCGACCUGGGUCGAUACUGACGCUGAGGUGCGAAAGCGUGGGGAGCAAACAGG
RNAcentral lists this ribosomal RNA (253 nucleotides) under uncultured bacterium. Its description in RNAcentral is "partial 16S ribosomal RNA". It matches the Rfam family "Bacterial small subunit ribosomal RNA", at positions 524 to 776 of the family's 1533-position model. The record is from RNAcentral.